Molecule: long non-coding RNA, 1926 nt
Organism: Daucus carota subsp. sativus
Lineage: Eukaryota; Viridiplantae; Streptophyta; Magnoliopsida; Apiales; Apiaceae
Exons: 4
Source: RefSeq, a predicted model, not a curated record
UUCAAACUCAUAUAAAUAUAUGCUUUACCUUUAUUUUAUUUUAUUAUAUGGUGCGAAAUAAAAUAAAAUUUUAAUUUAUAUUUUUAUUUACCGUCCAUCCAUUUGCAAUAAUAUUAUCAUAAAUUGGUAUUAUAUAUUUUAUAGUAAUAUUUUAAUUAAUUUGAUUAUUAUUUAUUAAUUUUUUUAUCGAUUUAUUAAAUAUAAUUAGUGAUGAUUUCAAAAAAAAUAUUUUUAGUGAAUAAUUAAUAUAUUUUAUUAUUGUCAGAAUUCACUUAUUUUUAAUAUUUAUUUAUUCAGUCACGUCACUUAAUUUUAUUUAUUAUAAAUAAAAUCAAAUAAAAUAUUAAUAUGAAAUAUAUGAUAUCAAUUUAUGAUAAAUAUUAUUAAAAAUGAACGACUGUAAAUAAAAAAUAUAAGUUAAACAUUUUAUUUAAGAUACAAUAAAACAAAAUAAAAGGCAAGUCAAUGUAUAUGAGUUUGAAAAUUGGGCUAGGCAGAUUUUGAGACCUAUGGCUACAGGCCUGUUUCCCCAAGCAGCCAAGCUUUAUCACCGGCCCAUCAUGAGAAACAGGUCCGUCCAAGUUAAAAUGAACUUGUACAUUCAAAAUUCAUUCUAAAAGCAGCUCAAUAUGUUUUUGAUUUCUACUCAUAUUAUCAUAGUAUAGUACAAGUACAACAAUAUAUACAACAGCAAGUCAUCAUUGACAACACUCUGCACUCUGCUCUUCGCCUAAUCAACUCCUUCAUUGAUAUUGUUGAGGUGUGAAGGAAUGGAUAGAUCCAUACCCAACAGAAAAAGAAAUAGAAAGGAGACAUUUAAAGUUCCUUCCUUGGACGUUUUGUGUCUCCAAAAAGCUAUUGAUAACGUUAAACACAUUGGAAAUAUUGCGGGAAUACCGGACCAGUUUCUGGAACGGAUUUUACCUCACUGCAACGCUGAGAGUUGAAGAACAUUGAGGAGAAGAACAAGCUAGGGAACAGACGUUAGCCACUUGACUAACUAUCUCUGGCAAAAUUUUCAUCGGAAGAGAUUUGGUCAGAGGAGUUUCAAUUCAGUGGUUGAGAAAAUAAGUAGUACAAAUGUAUCUUUCAGAUGGAAAGACUUGUACGAGGUAAUCUUAUUCUUUUGUGUCGCUAUCUUUCAAAUCAGUGUUUAAAUUUGUGAAAUAUAUACCUGCCUCUUCUAAAAAUAUAAUUGUGCAUCUCUUACAAGAAAUGUAUACAUACCUUUUCAAUGAUUUAGCUUUGAACAAACAUAUGCAUCCACAUCAUCAGUGAAUACCUCGACAGAGCAUGGCUCUCAAUAUCAGGUCCCGUAGGACCCGUACUGUUAACUCAUCUGUACUUUGUGAAACUUAAUUCGGUGAAGGAAGAAGACUUACGGUGCUUAAUGAUUUGUCCAAACAUAAUGCGUCAUUCAGCAACUAUUUUGAGGCUUGCAGAUGAUAUGGCAACUUCAUAGUAUGAACUAUGAAAUGGUGAGGGGUGACAAGGGUGUUUUAGAAGACGAAGCCAGAGAACACAUUAAGUACUUGAUAACUGAGACAAGGAAGAAGUUAAAUGAAGAGUGUGCAGAGUCUCCUUUGUCCAAGCCUUCUAUUGAAAAUUGCUUAAAUCUGGAAAAGAUAGCUUCAUGUGUUUAUUUAUAUUUGUAAUUUCUGUAAUUACAAAUAUUUCUUACUAUUUGUUCAUCCCAUUCCUCUUGAGCUAUGACACGCAAUCCUCAGUUCACAUUGACAAAAUGAAAUAAGCUCAAAACUUCCAUUUCUGAUGUACCAGCAGGAUCCCGUUUGAGCAACUUUGCGCCCAAGCAUUUUAGUCCUUAGACAUUAUGAAUAAGCUGAGCUUUAGAGUGCAGUAAUCAGUAUCAUACAAGUUUUAUUAUUCACAUAUAAACUUAUAAGCAGGAGACUAAUGUGAAAAUGU